This 69-nucleotide transfer RNA is filed under the name Gryllus veletis. RNAcentral's name for it is "tRNA-Ser". Lineage: Eukaryota; Metazoa; Arthropoda; Insecta; Orthoptera; Gryllidae. The record is from RNAcentral.
AACUAAAAAAAAGCAUUUGUUUUGAAAACAAAAGAUAGAAUUAUAUUCUAUUAACUUUUAAUUUCUUAA